AUACGAAGGGUGCAAGCGUUACUCGGAAUUACUGGGCGUAAAGCGUGCGUAGGUGGUUGUUUAAGUCUGUCGUGAAAGCCCUGGGCUCAACCUGGGAAUGGCGAUGGAAACUGGGCGACUAGAGUGUGGCAGAGGGUAGUGGAAUUCCUGGUGUAGCAGUGAAAUGCGUAGAGAUCAGGAGGAACAUCCGUGGCGAAGGCGACUGCCUGGGCCAACACUGACACUGAGGCACGAAAGCGUGGGGAGCAAACAGGAUUAGAUACCCUGGUAGUCCACGCCCUAAACGAUGCGAACUGGAUGUUGGGUGCAAUUUGGUACGCAGUAUCGAAGCUAACGCGUUAAGUUCGCCGCCUGGGGAGUACGGUCGCAAGACUGAAACUCAAAUUAAUUGACGGGG
This 397-nucleotide ribosomal RNA is filed under the name uncultured bacterium. Its description in RNAcentral is "partial 16S ribosomal RNA". It matches the Rfam family "Bacterial small subunit ribosomal RNA", at positions 523 to 918 of the family's 1533-position model. The record is from RNAcentral.